GAUGAACGCUAGCGGCAGGCUUAAUACAUGCAAGGCGGAGGGGGCAGCAAUGUCACCGUCGUACGGGUGCGUAACGCGUAUGCAACCUACCUAUCACUGGGGGAUAGGCCCGGGGGAAACCCGGAUUAAUACCGCAUAAUACAGGGGGCCCACAUGGGUCUAUUUGUUAAAGAUUUAUCGGUGGUAGAUGGGCAUGCGUU
This 200-nucleotide ribosomal RNA is filed under the name uncultured bacterium. Its description in RNAcentral is "partial 16S ribosomal RNA". It matches the Rfam family "Bacterial small subunit ribosomal RNA", at positions 28 to 237 of the family's 1533-position model. The record is from RNAcentral.